Molecule: small RNA, 103 nt
Filed under: Maledivibacter halophilus
Lineage: Bacteria; Bacillati; Bacillota; Clostridia; Peptostreptococcales; Caminicellaceae
Description: Clostridium halophilum dinG RNA
Rfam family: dinG RNA
Source: Rfam by way of RNAcentral
AAUGAUACUUCUGCUUAGUCCUAAGUAAUCCUAAGGAGAGCAGCCUGCCUACAGUGGGAGGAAAAUGUACGCUUGUAUUUGAGAAAGAAUACCGGUGACUUUU